This 301-nucleotide unclassified non-coding RNA is filed under the name Hevea brasiliensis (rubber tree). The record is from RNAcentral. Lineage: Eukaryota; Viridiplantae; Streptophyta; Magnoliopsida; Malpighiales; Euphorbiaceae.
GAGAAUGUGUGUACCUUGCGCGUUCGGAUGCCUAUUUCCUCGGACUUAUCGAACCCUCGCAACUUCAUUACGAAGAUUACCAGAUAUGAGAAGGUUGUCGACAUCCCAAACUCGAUGACGAUCUUGGACGAACUCCUCCCGAUCUCGAUCGAAAUGGCGAAAAGAAACCUCACUGGAAUAUGGAACUUCACUAACCCGGGAGUGGUGAGCCAUAAUGAGAUCUUGGAGAUGUACAAGCAAUUCAUCGACCCCAAUUUCACAUGGAAGAAUUUCACUCUAGAGGAGCAAGCCAAAGUGAUCG